UGCUGCUCUCUGGCUGUUCAUGUAGGGUCUGCAGCCCAGGGUCCACACUGUGUUGAACAAGGUGUCAGCUACCGUUUCACACGCUGACGAGAGGGAAGUAAGAGACAAACAACCAAGAGCUUCAGUCAGAACAGCAGUGACAUUGAGGCUGAAUGGUGGCCUGUAAGGACCAAGGGGUUUAAAGAUUACCAACCUUCAACCUUUGACACAAAGCCAAGGCUCUUCUUGAGGUCAGAACAGAUGCUGUGGAGGCACCAGCGGAACUUGGAGUCGCAGCGGUACUUGUUGGAGCCGCAGGUGUCGUAACACAUAUCCAGCUGGUUGCAACACUUGGUCAUGGCGGGGAUUCCUAUGUCCAUCUG
Acanthopagrus latus (yellowfin seabream) is the source of this 362-nucleotide long non-coding RNA. RefSeq lists it as uncharacterized. The record is from RefSeq and is a predicted model, not a curated record. The transcript is spliced from 2 exons. Lineage: Eukaryota; Metazoa; Chordata; Actinopteri; Spariformes; Sparidae.